This is a non-coding RNA of Monodelphis domestica (gray short-tailed opossum), 1678 nucleotides long. The record is from RefSeq and is a predicted model, not a curated record. NCBI's taxonomy places the organism in Eukaryota, Metazoa, Chordata, Mammalia, Didelphimorphia, Didelphidae.
ACUUUACUUUUUUAAAUAUUAUUUUGGAGUGAAAGAACACCAUUAACACACUGAAAACUUUUAUCAUUUUGCUCAAAUUCACACUCCAGUUUCAGUUAGUGUAGUUAACUUCUUUUUGAGUUGGAUAACAAUAUUAGUUUGGGCAUAAUUGUUGCUAAAACGACAUAAACCUUUAGAAAGCAUUUGUAGUAGAGGGAGCCAUUAUUGUUCACAUGGAACAUAUGAAUUUUAAGGUGCCUGAACUUUGAUUUAUAGUCAUUGCAAACAUAAAAGGGUAUCUAAAAUUCUUAUGUAGUUAUUAAUGUCUAGUUAACAUUCUUGGUCUGACUACCAGGGUAGAGCAACACCAGGAAACUAUGAUUUCCAGAUUGGAUUAUUUCCCUGUUGAAAGAAUAUUUCAUGGAAUUUGUCUUUUGAUAUCCCAGUCCAUAUAUGAUACAAAAAGAAUAACAAAUAUUUAUUGAGCAUCUGCUACAUAUUAGAUACUAGGGAGGGAUAUAAACUUUAGAUGAUAUAUGACUGUUGAGCCCCAAUGAGCAUAUAGCCUUGUAAGGAGCUAUGAUACCAACAAAAGUAGCUAUAAUAUACAACAUCAUAUCAUAAGAAUUACCCCCAAAAAAGUAUUGCUUGAGAGCUGAGUGAAGUGUGAUUAUCACAAUUUAAUAGGAAUUGACUUUCUGGAAGAGCUGUUAUUUGAGUUGGGUUAUUAAAAAUGAAAAAAAAAUAAACAGUAUAAUAAGAUAAGGAACAGGGUCAUUCUAGGUAUAGAUAUUAAUAUAGACCAAUGGUUCUCACCCUGUCUAAUGUGACCCUGCAAUAUAGUUCCUCGUGUUGCAGUGACCCCAAACCAAAAAAUUAUUUUGGUGGCUACUUCAAAACUGUAAUUUUGCUACAGUUAUGCUUCAGAAUGUAAAUACCUGAUAUGUGUUAUGUAUUCUCAUUGCUACAAAUUGAGAGGUUGAGAACCACUCAUAUAGACAAUGAUGAGGUGUUUUUAUCAGUUCUAAGACAGAGGAGUAGCAAAGGCUAGGCAAUCAGGGUUAAGUGACUUGCUCAGGAUCACAGAGUUAGGAAGGGUUUGAGACCAGAUUUGAAGUCUUCUUUGACUCCAGACCUGGUGCUCUAUCCACAGUGCCAUCUAGCUGCCUCAGUAUGGACAAUGUUCUGGAAGAAAUUUAGUGGGUACAAAGUAGUCUAUUUGAGCAAAAGCCAAAUAGAAGAGAACUACUGGUGCUAAAAGAUAGAGCUGAGGCAGAUUCUGGAGGCAGAAGAAUUUUAAAUUUUAAAUUUCAAAUAUUUGAAAUAUUAGAGAACCACUGAAAACUUUUCAUUGUUGAAGGGAUCUUGAGACAAGAAAGAUUAUUCUGUCACUGAUAUGAAGGAAGAAUUAGAAGGAAAAUAUAAAGGUCAUAACACAUGAGAGAGAGGAAAUAGUCAAAGGUAGUUACUUUGGGGAACAGUGGUGCUAGAAAGAAAGUUAAUUGCAAGAAAGAACACAGUAGGAGAAAAGAAUACCAACAUAAAUGAACUUGGAUAACUCUUCGGAUGUAUAUAAAUUCAGUGAGUCUGUAUCUGUUAAUAUGACAAACUAGAUCAACAGUGGUGAACUUUUUAGAGACAGAGUGCCAAGCCCUGCACCCAUUUCACCCCUAGAUCGAAUGGUGUACCCCCCCCCCCC